Long non-coding RNA from Pipra filicauda (Wire-tailed manakin), 13859 nucleotides. RefSeq lists it as uncharacterized. The transcript is spliced from 5 exons. NCBI's taxonomy places the organism in Eukaryota, Metazoa, Chordata, Aves, Passeriformes, Pipridae. The record is from RefSeq and is a predicted model, not a curated record.
CCUCUGGUCUCUGUAUUCCUUAUGCAGUGCAGGAGGAAUACUUGCUUCCAGUGCAGAGCAUCAGAAUAAAAGGAUGUCUCUGAGAAGAAGGAUGGCUUCCUUCUGCUGCCUUAGGCCAAGAAGAAUGUUUCUCCGGAGAUGAUACAGAUAACUACAGUUCUGUAGUGACCGAUGCCAUCUACACAGUAUCCUUGAUCAUGGCUAAAGGGGAAGAAGAAUGGACAAGUGAUUGAGAGGUCUCCUGAGUACACCAUGAGGCAAGAAGGGAAGAGAGGAGUUUAUUUUAAUGCUGCUGAGCUGAGUGACUCAGGACAUUGCAUAGUGACCAUAGGAUAUGCAAGACAAUGACCCUAAUGGGCAGUAGAGCAGUUCCAGUGUAACUGUGGAAGGUAAGCAUGAAUGACUCAAGAGAAGAAGAGAAGGAGGAAUAGUUGUCUUUACACUGUUGUUCAGUGAACUCCGCAGUGGAGCAGUACUGCUUUGCUGUAACAUAUAGGAAACCAAUGUAAAAUUAUGCUGCUCUGCAGUCUUUUUAUUGUUUUACACGGAAUAGGACACUAGUCUGUACCUCCUCUUGGUAGUAUGAAGGUAAUAAUGAGGGACUUCCCUUUGCUGUAUGAAGUGGUAGAAGGAUAAAGCAGUAAAUCUUCCAUUUAAGUCCUUACACCUGUCACCUAAACCAGCUUAGUAAAGUGUAUCAUGUUUUUUAUUUUAAUCAGGGUUUCUCUAAGGUAUUCUCAUCCUGGUUCUUCAAAGUGACCCAUGGGACAUUUGACUGCAGUCUGCUGAGGACCAGGAACAAAACACAAGACUGGGAUUCUGGCAUGCCACCUUCUCAGCUCCAGCCAGCCGAGAUGCUGUGACACAUGCCAGGAAACCAAACCUGACCCAGUUACCUCUCUGAUCUCAAGAGAAAGACUCAUCUGUGGUGUGACUCUUCUAACCAUGAUGGAUUUUAGUCAAGGAAUAAGGGCUUCCCAGUGCACGGGGCUUAAGCUGUACGUGAAUAAACAAAACAUGUGCCCCAGCAACCCAUUACUAAAUAAAGAGGAUAACAGCUGGACUGUGGCAUCCCUUUAGGACUGACAACAUACUCACCAUGAAUGAAGUAGCCCUGCUCCUGCCAGAUGAGAAAGGCAUCUCCCACUGCCGAGAAUAUGAGUCCCGCUAGGAUGCGGCUGGCACUCCGGUGUGACACUAAGAAGUUAAUUCCAUGGGCCAGAAGGAAAACCCACAGGCAAAAGAUGGGCAGACAUUUAAUGAGAGCACUGAACCAGGAGGGGCUGGAAGUUGGCAGCCAGAGGACAAAAUAGACACAAGUGGCUUUAAAGAAGGGCACCAGUUUGGGACCUUCGCUCUUCACCUAAAGAAAACAAACAUUAAAAAAGAUAAAUUAAUAGGAUCAUCAGAAGCAUCAACUUCAUAACAGAACUGUCUCCUUCCUUUUGAAAGCUAAUCUUUCAUGUAUACUGUCAGCUAGCAGCGUUUCUACCCUGAGAACUGCUGAUUGAACUUGACCACAAUUCUCAGCCUAGACCUUUGUGAUCGUCUCUGCUGAACACUUCUCAGCUGUCAGGAUGGGGUUUGGGUGGUGGACUUGGAGGAAGUUUUAAAUACCUUUUCUCUUUAUUUGGUUCUACUGAAAACAUUCAGGCCAUCAGUCAAACUCCUCUGGUGCUCCUUGACACCUACCUUGUGUUUAGACUAAUCUCUUUAUACACCUUUCCGGAGCUGUGAAAAUACUCCACCCCCAGAUAUAUCCCAGCAGCAAACAAACCAGAAAAAGUGCAAAUCCUCCCUUCCAUUUUCACAAAUCCUCACGCUUAGCCAGUAGCAGAUCACCCUGAGGAUACAACCUCUCUUCUAAGGCAUUCUUUCUCCUGCCCUGAAGCCUCAUGCCUGGAGCUUGCUGUUGGCACCACCACAUGACUUCAAAACCCGUCACAUCAGCCUCACAGGUGAGGAUGUCAUUUCCUCAGCUGACUAAUACCAACAUUAACCACGUGUUGCUUUGUUCUAGCAUUACAGUAAUAAUACAGAACCCAUACUGCAGGAAAUGUUUUGACUCAGGGCUCUAUUGUGUAAAUACACAAAAAUGUAGCAUGAGCACUUAGCUACCCAUAACAAAGCCACAGCAGGGGCAGGGCACAGAGCUACAGGCUCCACAAGCUGGGUCUGCUCUUGAUAUACAUUUAGCUGAGAACGCUCUGUACAAUGAUAACAUAUGUAUUGUGAUCACCUGCCCUCCUGUUAUAAUUCUGCAUUUCAGUGCAGGUGGGGAAAACUUCACACGAGAAACAAAGCUAUGAUUUUAUUUUCUCCUGAAGAGCAGCUGAGGGCCAAAAUAAGGAUCAAAGGGACGGGACUGCCUCCUGUGCCUGACUGAGCUAUGUCCUGGGGUCUAACAGGAGGCCUGUUUCCUCCUGCACCUAAGGCAGUGCAACAUCCAGAGCUCCUCUGCAAGCAGAGGUUUACUCUCAACCUUCCCAUUUCUUUGGUCAAGCAAGACUUAGUUGCUUAGUAUCACAACAACUUCCCUCUACUCAUGGCCAAAGCACACAGAGGCCUCAUGCACUGGAGGAGGACAUGGGAAAAUUUAGAGGCAUCAAAGUUGAUUUCACUCUGCAGAGUCCAACUGGUCUUUUUUUUUCCAAAUCACUUGGCCCUAUUUCUGCUUCCUUGCAUCAUGGGACAUUGCCAUGACACAAAAACAGCAUCCAUCUUCCUUUGAUGCAGUGUGCCUUGAUGCAGGCACCUAGAACAGAUGAAGACUGCACAGGAAAUAUUCUCUGCUUACAGUGCUCAGGUAAUAAAGCCUAAUCUCAUAAAAAUUCUGGAGCUUUUACAGACACAAGCAAAUCGAAUCAGGUGAAGCUGGAAGACAGAGGCAGAGGCAGUGGAGGGCAUCUUCACAUGCAGUAUCUAAAAAGGGAAUGCAAUCUCAGAAGCAGUGAGGCUAUAAAUAAAGGGCAUCCCAAGAAGACAGUGCCUUCAAAAUUGUUCUCACAUCUGAUGGAAAUUUCCCCAGCAUAUCAGCAGUUUCUUGGCAGUAAGGUAUUUCAUUAUACAUUAUUCAUAGGCUAUUGCCAACACAAUUUUUAAACACUCCAUUAAACAACCAGGCUACACAAUUCACUAACAAAAGGACAUCAGCAAGCCGUUAACUUUCUUGUAUUACAUGAGGAGCUGUUGUGAGUCCUCUACUUAGGUUGUCUAAAUUAAUCACCAUUUACCACUCCUUGUCUGUAUUCCUUGGGAAAAUUCUGGCAGCAAAUAACAAAUGAACUUAAAAGUUAGAAAAGCUCAUGUAGUCUCAUAGUACUGGGGUUGCCUGGGAACUAUCAAGUAUCAUAAAGGAAAGAGUGCAGCCAAGCUUCCCCCUCCUUCAGACCCAGCACCUUGCUUUCCUAAAGUGACACAUCAGGCUCUGACUGUCCAAAGCCAGUGCUCAGCUCCAGCUCUGCUUCCUGCCCUUCUGACUCUCUUUUAUUAAAAUGUAGUUGAUCACAUUCAUCCUCUCACAGUUGGAGGCAGCAGAUGACAGUGUUUCUGGCAGGGUUUUCUCCUCUCCCCCGCAAGUCGUGGAGGAUCCCCACCACGCCGUAAUGAGCCUGAGAUCUUCAUCGUGGAAAACUAACAACCUCCAGAGCUACGCAGUGCGAAAGAGUUGGCAGCAGCAACAGUGCUCCAGGCUCAUGUAACAGUCUCAGCUAGGGUAAGUAGUUUUGUACCUCUGAAGAAAAAAGUUUAUGCUGAAAGAUUUAGUUGAAGUUCAGGCUGUUUGCAACACAUCACAGUGGCACUGUUAGAAGCAUACAGGAGAGUAUUUGGGUUAAUAAACAUGGGAAGUUUUAUUUAAUACCUCAUAUUAACAGAAAAACACCUGCUAGGAGCAGUUACCAUUACAAUCACAGCUUGCCCUCCCCUGUGUGCAUGCAUGAUGAGACAGGUUUUAAUUACACUUGUAAUUUCCCCAGGAACCCUGCCUUACUGAAUGUAAGAUAUGCCCUUGUGCGGAAUGAUUAUGUUUGAUUAACUUAAAAUUACCAUUUCUUACUAUCUGAAUGUGAAUUUUGCAAGCUCAGCCAGCAUUAUUUUAAAAUAAUGAUUUGUAUUAUUUCCAUGCUAAUAGUAAUUAAGGAAUUUUUCAUAUAUAAGGGGUCAGAUUCCAGUCUCAGUUAAGCACCAGUUAAACGAUUUACAGUGUUACAGAGUCCCCAAGUAAGAAUGAUCUCAUAUAUCUAAAAGGGCUACAGGCUUCUCAUCACUGAAUUGACACUAUUUCUUUACAUCUUUUCUACAAGUAUACUUCAGAUGAGUUAUUUCCAACCCUACUCUUGCCCAUCACUGAAUGCUGCAGCUCAGUGGAGCCCCUGUUACAGCUCUGACCAAAAUGAGGGACAGCACUUGCUGAGACAGAGGUACCUGUGCAGCUGAGGGGUGGGCAGCACAUCCCGCUGGGAUAUACUUGGGAGAAGUCCUUCAAGAAUAACUGAGGCAGCCAGAGGGUGAGGCUGGGGAUUACCCUCCAUUUGGACAUGUGGCUGAGCCUUGGAAAGGACAAGUCAAGGCUGGUAUUGGGAAACCAUGUACCAACAUGACUGGAGGCUGUGGCUUGAGGAAAGCAGGGCAUAUAAUCCAUGACUGGACUUGCCUGUACCUCAGGGAAGGGAACAUUAUUUCUUGGUUGCAUGGAUAAAUUGCAUCAGAGAUGGAAUGUGAGAUGGGGACAUGCUGUGGUAUUGGAAAAGAAAGCACAUGACAGAGGUGACAAAAUCCUUUAUGGUAAUGCAUGUGAUUGUCAUGGCUUUCAGCUGGGUUUUGCCAUUUUGUUAUAAAUUUAUUGCAUUUUCCCCCAAUUCUUUUCUCCUUCCACCGCUUAUUUACUCCAUACAGAAAUGCAGUACAGAAAACAUUUUGAAUACAAUAACAAGGCAGUAUUUCCAAGUUUUGAAUUUCUAAACUGACCAUAAUUUAGGGAAUUUUCUCAACUGCUACGACAAUUAAGUUACCUAGAGUCUUGAGAAAUUAGUUUAAACUACUGUAAAGCCAAAAAAUUUACAGCUGGCUCCUUUACUCCAGAAUAAGUCCCAUCCACAGAGGAACAGCUACAUUCAUAAGACAGUGCCCUGAUUUUCUUUAACAUUUUGGAGCCAAUUGUCUGUAUCUGUAUCACGAGUGGAAUGAAGAAAAUCCAGCUGCCACAGGGAGGGAGAUAUCUUCUUCCUGAGGUACAGAAGAACAUCAGAAGUUUGUUGCAUUGAAAUGCUAAAGUCGGACGAAAAGUCCUUGCUAAAGUCCUAAGCCAUGCAUUGGUCCCAGGAAACAACAUGGAGUAUCAAUGCUCUUCUCUCCACAAAGUCUCCUAAAUCAGCCUGCACAGAAAAUAUGUAUACAGACACCUGCUGUGCACCAACCUGCUGUGGGGAUAUGGCUCAUACCCACUGGGCUGUAAAAUGCUGCUUCCCAGGAAAAGUACUUUAAAAAUAAGACACCAGCUAUUCUACAGAGCAACACUUAAGUACAACUGUGUGCACUGGCCAAAAAAAAGCUGAGUCGUUGUCCUUCACCCAUCCAUCCCAGCAGCCUUGGCUGGCCAAGUACCAUUUUGUGUAUCGACAUCUGAGCUGCUUCUCCUGGCUUUUGGCAUGGAUCCUGUCUUGGUUCUGCCCUAAUGUGACAAUAGCUCUCACCCCCAGUCAUGUGCUAAUAAAUAUUUAUUUGGCUUUGUUGCCAUGUUUGCUGCCACUUCAAGCCCGGGGCUCAUGCUUCUCAUUCCCCAGAAUAUGUGGCACUCUGCAAAGCACUGACCAUCCUCUGUGCAGUCUGAGUCACAGAGGGGGAGAGUUGCUUCAACCUGGGGAUGGACCACAAUUAGGAUAAAGUACAUGUAUGUGCUACAGGUUCUCAUCUACAGAGCAAUGGGGAACCAACACAAUUCACCAUCGGACUGAGCCUACAGAAAACCCACCUUCGUGCACAGAUCCUAGCCAGGGGCAGCUGUUUUCCUCAGGAAUUCAACAACCUACCACUUUUUGCUAAACCAAGGAGGAAUGCAGCAGUGCUGGGCAAUUCCUGGCCAUUAACCCACGUGAGUGGACUGCAAAGCUCCCAUCCUCAUCCUCCUGGGCUUGCUUCCACAUUCCCACCUUUGCUCAGAUGGUGCAACAUCAAGCCUUUGAAUGUGUACACUCUGAUAUAAAAGAGGGAAUUUUUAGGCAGGGAGCCAGAUUGCGUAAUAGUGAGGAUUCAGCUGUUUGGUACCCAAAUUCACCAUUUACACCUUCCACACAAACCAAAGGCCCCAGUGGCUACUCUGGCUGCUCAUGUCUGCACCCCUCCUGGCAGCUUGCAGAGAUGAGCGAGCAGGAGACAGAUGAGAGGUAAAGUGAUCGGCCAGUCAGCGCUUUUUAUUCCAGAGGGUUGCUGAAAUAUUAGGGCUGGCUGGGACAGCCCUAACUGGUACUCACCUAACUGAUGACUGUAAGUGAGCACAAAGCACUUCCAACUCUGCUCUCCUGCAGGAGCAAACAUGCUCCCGGGGGAUAACUGAUUGCCUAUCACAUUUUGUCACAGAAGGCAUUGGCUCAUACAUGCCCCAAGUUGUUCCUGAAUAAAAUUCUAAGAAAAAAUGCUUGUUAUGGAGGGUAGUGGAGAGUUACUGAACCAGCCAGUCAACCUGUCUGAAAUACUCUGUUGGUGCAAUACACUUUUGCAAUUAAUAAGAGUGUUUAUGUUUGUGUUGGAGAUGCCAUGGCCAGGCAUCUGAGGCAGAUGGCUCCUGAACAGGCUCCACAUGCUGCAGGAAAUUGAGGGUGAUAGAUAAACCCUCUUCUCCUCAAAUGGAGCCAAGAUCGUAGAGGCUCCAUCUAAAAUGGAUUUGUAAAAUAGCAAAUAAGUCACUCAGAACAUGGUACAUGAUUUGCCUUUAGGAGAAUGUGUGUGCUGAUGAUCCUCUGUCUUCAUCAUGUUUAUGUCAUGCAAUGAGUUUCGCCAAGUCUUGUAGUGCCCUAUUGCAGCUUCUGGCACUCCCCAGCACAACUCAGGGCCUCCAUUUCUCUCACAAGGGUAAUGCAGUGAAACUGAGCUUGUGCUCAGCUGUUCAGUCAGACCUGUUUACAAGGAAUCAAAAAAUCAUGAUUUUGUCUGACAGGAGCCUCUGUUGUUCAGCACAAGCCAAAAGUAAUGGGGCUCUGCCUGAAUGCUUCCUGCCUGCAAAAGGACCAUCCUCCCAGCUCAGACACAUGUGUGUCCAAGGCAGCUCUUCCACCCACAGGGUCUCUUCAGCUGCAAAAUAGGGCUGGUGUGUUGGCUUCUGUCAUCUCUCCCUCUACCCCAACAGCCUGGGUACUCUCUUUCUCCCCUCAGUUAAGCAAAGUAAGGUCCAGCUGUACUUCCAUGCUUUGGUCCACAACAGACUAACACAGGGUUGAGAGCUAGAAAUAUUCAGCUUCUUUUUCUUAAGACCAAGAUACGGCUUUUUGCCAGAAAAGUACGAUUAAAAGGUUGGCACGGGCCCUCACAGUUCUUGGGUGGUGAACUCAGCUAUAUUGCUGCACAAACUCUUGGCAUCAGAACAGUCACCCUUUAGUGGAGGCACACAGGAGCUGGCCGUGGAUGAGGAUCAAUCAAACUGGCAUCUCACAAGGGUUCCUGUGCAUGGCUGGGCUGCUCCAAUACACAGCUGUAUGCAGAAACAAGAACCACAACAAAAAUUUUAACUUCCAAGCCAAAAUGCUGCCCAACUCACAGUCACAUCAACAUUCAACCUAAUCUCUGGAUCAACCAUAGGGGGGAUGAAAACCUGUCAGCACCGAGGUUAAAAUCUUCCAGACGAGCGACUUCUCCCCAGAUGCAGAAAGCAGGGAGGAAAUUUGUAGCAGGAGUUUCCCCACAGAUGCCUGGCAGCAGGGCAAUGUUUGCCUGCACCAGCCUCUCCCAGGUGAAAGGGCAGCUCGAGUCCCUGCAGCGCGGCAGCCUGGGCACAGCGGGGGCACAGCACAGCCACCCAGCUGAGCGGCAGCAGGCGAGCGCCAAGAAUGGGAUGUUUUGUACCAAGACAGCUGGGGAGCACAUGAGCAAGGCUCAUCAUGCCGUGGGAGUGCCAGUGACACGAGACUGCAGACCUUGCUUUUGAAAUGGUCUCUCUCUUCAUGUUUGCUUUCCAAGUGUAAUUUCUCCACAACAAACUGCUAUCUGUUCCUGUAGACACUCCUCAAGCAAAGUCUGUGCUACCCAAAACUUUACCACAGCCAUGCUGUGAUCUACCACAAAACUCUGUCAUCUUUUCUCUGGGAGGAAAUUUCUGAAGGGGAUUGUCUAGGAUAGGUUUUAGGGGAAAACAGAACUGAACACACAAAGUAUGAAGGAUAAUUAAAUAAAAGACUUGGGAACAUAAAAGAGAGAAACCUUAGACAGGUUUUGUGGCCUUCUCCAGAGGACAGUAAAAUAACUGCAACCAUGAAUCCUUGUACAGGGGGCAGGGAGGGAGAUGAACACUGACAGGCCAAGGGGGCAGGCAGCCUUCAUUUUUGCCCCUUCCCAGGUUAAGGCAGGAGAAGCCAAACUGGCACUCACAUAGAAACAACAAUGCAUGUGUUAGUAAAGCUUCAAUACAAAAAUAACAGCAGUCCUCUCUGGUCUUCAGGUGCUUAAUGAAGAAAUUAAAACCUGCUGGGUGCUGAGCAGUCACACUGACUGUGCUCACGGGGCUGCUGACAAGGCCAGUUUGGCUCAGCAGCCAAUGUUACCUGGGUGCUCUCGGACAUUGCAGCUCUCUGCUGCUACACCUGCAAGUUAAAAAACAUGCAUCUGUAGCCACCUGGGAUGUGUCAGAAAAAAGUCACAAAAGGGAAACUGGAGUCUCACCUUCAAAAGACCCCUUACAGGAGGCUUUAGAAAUGUGAGGGAACAGUCCCUUAACAACUUAAAUUAGAUACAGGCAGUUCUGGAGCCAAGGAAAUCAUUCCACGCAUCAGGGCACUGUGUGCCACGUAUUGCAACAGGAGCUCACUCCUGCUUCUUGCCUUUUAUACCAUGACAUUGCCCAAAGCUAUCUUGACACACUGGACAGUUGUGUUCCCUCCAGCAGAUAAGGAAGUUACAGUAUCCAUAAAGGGUAUAUCCUGUACCAGAUAAAAGAAGAAAUCUAGUUAGCUUGGCUAACAAGCUAUGCAACAGUGUCUCUGGGACCUUCCUGCAUUACACAGGACCUACUGCUAUUGGGCCAGGCAAAGUGAGAUACCACUACACCCACCAGUAUCUUAUAAAGUCACUGUGGUAUCUGCCCUUCACUUUCUAGGAUCACAAGGGAGCUUUCAAGGUGGUAAAGCCUUUCUUUAGCAGACGUUAACUCAUAAAAAUCAAAUUACAGACAAAUACAUUUCACCCUGAACUGAAUACUCAGUUUGGAUGUAUGUGUUUUUGCUAGGGCUUGUUUUUUGGGGGGGUGGUUUUGCUUUUUCCAUUACCAAUCAUCUAUCCUGUCUACCAGAUUGGCACAGGGCCACAAGCAGGGCUAUUUUAAAAACCUUUUCCUAACCUGCGGUUGUAAUGAUUGACUCCACAUCUGCAGCAAUCCUAUAGCUGUCAGCAGUUUAGUAGAUUGCCUUCUGAGUACGGUCAAGGACUAACAAUAUUAAACUAGUCAAGAACUCAAAUGUCUCUGCAGGGUUGUAGGGGCUGUCACACACUAAUGCUUUCAGGGUAGUUCAUUGGCUCUCAGAAAUGAAAGCAAAAAUAUAGUAUUUGCCUGCCAGUAUCUUAGAGCAAAGAUUGUUUUUACCUCCUGGGAUUCUGGAUCUUCCUUUUUGUGUAGCAGAAAGCAAACCUCCCUCAAUGCUUCCUUUGCUGUAACACUCACAAAAGAACCCCUUGCAGAUGUUUAAAAACAUGAACCACAAUGGAUCUGUGGAUUUGCUCAUCAGAGCUGCAGUGCUGCCACAGCAAGGGCUCUUACUCUUCCUCAGUGAGGUCAGGUGGGGCUGUAUCCUUACUGCUACCCUGGACAUCAGGAGGAUGCUGUGAAGCCACAGUGAGCUUCACAAGCCAGCCAGCCAGCACCCUGAAAUGCACAGUUGAUACCUGUCCCAGGCAAUUCCUCUAAGGAUGGGAAGGGGCAGCUAUUUGGUUUGUCACACUAAAAUCCACAUAAAAAAUUUCUACUGCUUAUGGAAAAGUCACCUCAACUUAUUUCUGGGGAUGGCUUCCAGACUACAAUCAUUUGUUCUCAGGAGACUUUUCAUUGUUUAUAUAACACUUUUCUGUGAAAGAGAGUGCAGACUUCCAUUAUCCAGGAAGAAGCAGUGUGAGGUAAGCCAAACACAUGAGCUAUGGGGCACAGGACCACAUCAAAAAGUGACACCCUCUUGCAAGGCCCUUUGCUACAGACAAGUGCCACACACUGACACCUGUCCCACAAGCUGUGUGGCAAGACUGGGGCAUCUCUCCAGUCCCUGGUGCAGAUCCAAAAUGAAAUACCCCAGGGAGAACUGUCAGUUCUUUUCUUAUCAGCACCGGGGCAGGCUGAGUCUCUAGUUAAUAGCUGUGAGGAGUCUGCACACACAGUGUUUUGUCCCCAGGGCUGAAAUCCACCUUUUACCUGCACUCUCCCAUUUCCAGCCUUAUUUGCACCCCACAACCCACUGCAACCACUGGGCUGAGCCAACUGUAUUGGUUCCCCAUUGUACUUGUUGGAGGGCCCCAGCCACUCUGUCACUUUGCUGCAGCACCGGGAAUGCAUGGAAGAAUGUGUACUCAGGGAAAAUGGGCACUUGGCAAAGCUCUACCCUGCCCCAUGCUACUUUGCCAUCAGGAAUUGGUAUUUGAGAGGGAAGGGAGACCCUUCCAUCCUGAAGCAACCUCUUCAGCAGAGAAGACCUAAUUUUACCUACAAGCUAUGGAGAAUAACAUGGGUCUAAAUAAGAACAUUGCAGGCAUUGCUGCUGUCACAGCCCUUUAAAGGAACAGCUAAAGAGCCAGUAGUGCAGCAGAGAAGGUAGGUAGCACAUGACAGGCUGUACCAGCCCCAGCAGCCAUUGCCAAAGACCUGCCAAGGGUGAAACUGCCUCCAGCAUUCAAAAGGCACUUUUUCAGCUCACUUUUCUGGCUCACACAACAGAUUGCUGCAUACCUGGCAGAGGUGAGGUUUUUGCAAAAGGAACAAGAAGGAAGAACUGAGGCAAGACGGGAAGGAAGAACUGCUAGCGGAUGGGAAAGCUGGCAGCUCUGCACAGGAGACUUACACUGUACAAAUCCUCACAAGGGGUGGCAAGAAUACCAGCAAAAGCAAGUCGGGUGAAAUGCAGGAGGGACAGCUCAGACUGCUUUGUGCCCUAUGGGAAGCUGAACGAAAAGCUCUUCUCUACCUGUGUAUCAUGUCCUGCAGGCCAAAAGCUUGUGAAUCACUGAUGUUAAAGAAAAUCAGAAGGGAAAACAGCAAUAUACCCCAAUAAGGAUGUGUAUUUAGAGAGGUGCCUUACAAAAAAGCAGCAGCCCUCCUCAUGUUAUCAUGGGAUCAAUAUGCUUAAGAGACAGGAGGGUGUAAGGUCAAAGGAUGACAGCAGAGUCGCAGAUUUGAUUUCCAAUAUCUAUUCUUGUGUCAAGAUGUCAAGACCUGAACAAGUCGGUAUCAGACACAACUUACAUGAAGGUCAAUUGGACCUUCCCAGCCAAUCUCAACAGAUGUGGGGUGGGCAGGUGCAAACACUAACCUAUGCACUCCCAGGAUUCAAACUAAUAUAUCAAGGUUUUCACUUGCAAAACCCCUUCGGUAAUCAGGCUGCAUACAAAAAUGCAGACCACACUCACAAAUAAAUGUGCAGCUGCUUACCAGUGUUACGCCCUUUAUAUUGAGGGUGCAAGUCCACAGAUGCAACCAAGACGAGUGGAAAUUUCAUAAACAUCAAUUCAGUGAUAACAUUGUCAUCACAUUCCUUUUGUAUCAGGGUUGCAGAGAAAAGCCAUAAAACUUGUUUAGUUCCUCUUGCAAUGGAACACAUCAGCACUGUAUUCAUGCUGUGACAAAACCAAAAGACACAAGCAAAUACGGAUACAGUAGCCAAGCCAGGGUGUCAGUCCAGUUCUGCUGAAGCCGUGGGAGACAUAUAAGUCUGAGGAUCUGCCUGGUGUGUCUAGUAUGUGCUGAAAAAUGAGCAGCUGGUUUAAUGUCAAACUUCCUUGAAUCUCAAGCAACGAUUCAAUAAGAGGCUACUUGCAACUAGCAGAAAUGCACUCAUUUUGAUACAUAGUUGGAAAUUUGAUGCCUGAUGCCAACUGUUGCCAUAUCUGUCUCCAAAGCUGGUCUCCGGUGAGGAGCAAAAAAUGAAACUUCACCAUUCAUUCAAACUUGAUCGAAGUCCCAAAACCAGUUCAGUAACACGACUUGUCUCAUCUUCCCUCAGUUUAGGAAAGAGCAUGUCUUAUGGUAAUCUACAGGAAUUAGCUUUUGGGAGAAGACUAGCCUGCUGGUAGAAACAGGGCAUUUCCACAGGAUCACAGCAAGGUGAAUCAAAACAGCCACCAUCCUCAUUAACAGGCAGAUUUGCAACACAAGAGUCAGCCUGCAACAUUAACCUAACGCAAGAAGAGGCACAAGUUGCACUUACCCAGAAUGAAACUGCACCUGUGCAACUCUUGAGUCAGAGCUGUGGUGUGAGCCCCCAGGCUCUCAUAUUUUGGAUAUAGAUAUUUGAACGGGAAAAGAGAACGGAAGAAAUGCAUCUCUGUCCUUUCAGAGGAAUUCUGAGUAAGUACAGACUUCUGAACUGGACUCAUAAUCUUAAUGCACAAAGCACACUUUGAACAACAGACGCGUGUGACUCGAGUGAUACACUGGAGUUAAUGAAGCCUUUAAUCUACAGCACUGCCUGCAGAGUGAUCGGCACUAACUGCUUAGUGUGACCUCCCUGGGACUGGGAAGAGCGUGAGAGAAGCCGCACUUUCCAGCCUCCGAUAGUCCACCCUCUCACAGCAACAGCUACAGCAAAGAAUGUCAAUGUCAUAGCAAGAAUGCACAAGUUCAGUCUGAAAAAAUAAAUCGUGGCAUGUAACACUGGGCUCUAGCUGGCAUAAAUCAGCACAGCUUUUUGCCCAGUAGGCCCAAAGCUUUAGGCUUCUCCCAAAAGGUGGGACUGACAUAAAUGUUACUAAGAUCUCACUAAGCUUUCCUAAGGCGAUGAUUCCCUCCCUUUCUUCAGUGAGCUCAGGUGUUUAGAAAUCUUUUCUAUAAUUCAUUUACAUUCACUUGGAUUUUAUACAAGUGCCAUAUUUCCAUAAUUGUCUAUGCAGUAUAUAAAUGUGCAUGUUUACAAGCCUCCUGCAUAAUAAAAUCCCGAUGUAUGAUGUAUUUAAGUAAUGGGGGAAAUUACAAUGAAAACAUUGUAUAUAAACAAAGAGAAAAGUAAAAUUAACUCUCUACUAUAAGAAUUACUUCUAACUUAGAUGGUUGCUAACACUUCAUUCAUUAAUGCAGAAAUAAUACAUUCUCUCCUUAAGAACAAAGGCUGAAAUAGCUCCAAGUGUGAACUGGCUUUCUUGUUUUCAGCAGCAGUUUGAGAAUUAUAGAGCACACUUUCUAAUAAUAAACCUUUAAAACUAUGCCUAGACCUACUACUUAAACCUACUACUGCUACAGUUGCCCAUAGUGCAGAGUCUCUAAGCAAUGUGAUUUACAUCAGGUUUCCACACUCAUCUGGAUCAGUGUGGUUUGGCCCCUGUUCAGAAACUGAAAUCAUACCCACCCAGUUCUCCAGCCCUAUUCCAUAUUUCUUAAUGGUGAGUACCUUUCCAGACCGUAUCUUUCAGGUUUUUUGCCCAGUUUUUUGCAAAUGACCUUCAUCACAGUGACAUCCUGUGUCUAC